This 536-nucleotide ribosomal RNA is filed under the name Nosema sp. C PSH-2011. RNAcentral describes it as "SSU rRNA". It matches the Rfam family "Microsporidia small subunit ribosomal RNA", at positions 1 to 594 of the family's 1311-position model. The record is from RNAcentral. Lineage: Eukaryota; Fungi; Microsporidia; Nosematidae.
CCAGGUUGAUUCUGCCUGACGUAGACGCUAUUCCCUAAGAUUAACCCAUGCAUGUUAUUGAUUUUUGAAAAAUGGACUGCUCAGUAAUACUCACUUUAUUUUAUGUGUACUUAUUAUAACUACGUUAAAGUGUAGAUAAAAUGUAUACAGUAAGAGUGAGACCUAUCAGCUAGUUGUUAAGGUAAUGGCUUAACAAGGCAGUGACGGGUAACGGUAUUACUUUGUAAUAUUCCGGAGAAGGAGCCUGAGAGACGGCUACUAAGUCUAAGGAUUGCAGCAGGGGCGAAACUUGACCUAUGGAUUUUAUCUGAGGCAGUUAUGGGAAGUAAUAUUAUAUUGUUUCAUAUUUUAAAAGUAUAUGAGGUGAUUAAUUGGAGGGCAAAUCAAGUGCCAGCAGCCGCGGUAAUACUUGUUCCAAGAGUGUGUAUGAUGAUUGAUGCAGUUAAAAAGUCCGUAGUUUAUUUUUAAGAAGCAAUAUGAGGUGUACUGUAUAGUUGGGAGAGAGAUGAAAUGUGACGACCCUGACUGGACGAACA